This 497-nucleotide ribosomal RNA is filed under the name uncultured bacterium. RNAcentral describes it as "partial 16S ribosomal RNA". It matches the Rfam family "Bacterial small subunit ribosomal RNA", at positions 28 to 507 of the family's 1533-position model. The record is from RNAcentral.
GACGAACGCUGGCGGCGUGCCUAAUACAAGCAAGUAGAACGCUGAAGAGAGGAGCUUACUCUUCUUGGAUGAGUUGCGAACGGGUGAGUAACGCGUAGGUAACCUGCCUUGUAGCGGGGGAUAACUAUUGGAAACGAUAGCUAAUACCGCAUAACAAUGGAUGACACAUGUCAUUUAUUUGAAAGGGGCAAUUGCUCCACUACAAGAUGGACCUGCGUUGUAUUAGCUAGUCGGUGAGGUAAUGGCUCACCUAGGCGACGAUACAUAGCCGACCUGAGAGGGUGAUCGGCCCCCCUGGGACUGAGACACGGCCCAGACUCCUACGGGAGGCAGCAGUAGGGAAUCUUCGGCAAUAGGGGCAACCCUGACCGAGCAACGCCGCGUGAGUGAAGAAGGUUUUCGGAUCGUAAAGCUCUGUUGUAAGUCAAGAACGGGUGUGAGAGUGGAAAGUUCACACUGUGACGGUAGCUUACCAGAAAGGGACGGCUAACUACGUG